This 1452-nucleotide long non-coding RNA is filed under the name Olea europaea subsp. europaea. The record is from RNAcentral. Lineage: Eukaryota; Viridiplantae; Streptophyta; Magnoliopsida; Lamiales; Oleaceae.
AUUUUUCUUAGUACUCCAACACUAAAUUUCCCAAGCCUAUGGACAACAUAAAAAUGGAAGGCUUACCUAGGGCUCGAAUGGUAACAUUUUUCUUAAAUGUUUGUUAUUUUAUUUUUUUUACAUUAUAUUUCUUCUCAUAAUGUCGGAUUGUUAAUAUAGCCACAUAAAUUGUUGUUAAUCAUCAUCACUGCUUAUUAAAUAGUCUUUUGUUAAAUAAAAAGUAAUCAUAAACUAUUCUUUCAAGAGAGACUUGGAUAUAAAAUUAAGUUAAACGAGAAAAUAAUAUAUAGGGAUUAAAAUACUCUCGUCAAAAAUUCUAAAUCUAAUUUCAUUGUAAUCUCAUAUAUGCCAUGAUUUUCCACCAAAACUCGAAUUUAUUCGCAUAAAUUCUUCAAUGUGAAAGAUUGUUUACAUUUGUAGGUUAAUGAAUUUAGUUGAUAGAUAGUCCAAUUAUUAAGGGAUAUAAUUUCACAUCGAAUAAAGAUGAAAAAAAACUAAUUUAUAAAGGUUUGUGCUAUUCCUCUUAACAAAGUUAAUCUUUUAAGAUGGUACCUCAAGUUUUAAUAUGGUAUUAGAGUUCAUUAAACUCUAAAAGCUAUUCGAUCCAAUUAAGACUCAAAAAAUGAGCAAAUGUAUUUCAAAAUCGAUCUGCUAAAAAAAGCAACCCUCUUGCAAGGGUAUAUUAAGGGAUAUAAUCCCACAUUUAAUAAAUAUGAAGACAAAGACCAAUUUAUAAAAGUUUAGACUACUUCUCUUAAUAAGGUGAUCUUUUAAUAUAGAACCUCAAAUCUUAACAUGAGUAAGGCAUAGUAAAAAGGGCAGCCCAAAAAAUUUUUAGUCCACCCCAAGUGGAAACUUUAGCUUUCCCUACUCAACCCAUUGUUUCCGGUAUAUAAUAGACAAUUCUUGUAAACAUUUAAAGGUUAUUCAAUAUAAAGAUACAGAUAUGUCGUAUUGGAUGAGCUAGCCCUAAACUGCUUGGCUCGUUGAAAGGCUCUGCACAAGAACCAGCACAUGCGUAGAACGGGCCAGUCACUAGCUGUACCAUCUGAACCGAUAGGCCAGGUUGAUUCUCGUGCAUGGGGAAAAGAAACUAUACAGAGUGGAGUGCUCCUAUAGGGCUAAGCCACAUCAUCUUCUCAGUGAAUUGGGCGACCAUCGACACAUCUAAAAAAAUAUACGGAAUUGAAUUGUUUAGGACUUAUUUUAGUAAGAAUUGUUAAUUAAAUAUGUUUGAUUAAUAUAAUUUUUCAUCUGAAAAAUACUAAAAUUUUGAAUAUUUUUGUGUCUAUUUGACUUUGUUUUUCAUGAAAAUUUUCAAUUAAAGAGAUAAAAUUUGUUAUAGUUGUAGAUAGAAUUUGUUUCCAAUGUCCAAAAAAAAAAAAAAAAAAACUAGAAAAACCCAAUUCCCAAACCAAAGGAAAAUCAAUUCUUUAAAAACCAAGAAAAUAU